AUACGGAGGGUGCAAGCGUUACUCGGAAUCACUGGGCGUAAAGCGCGCGCAGGCGGUCUUUUAAGUUGGAUGUGAAAGCCUACGGCUCAACCGUAGAACUGCAUCCAAAACUAUUAGACUAGAGUGUGGGAGAGGAAGAUGGAAUUAGUUGUGUAGGGGUAAAAUCCGUAGAGAUAACUAGGAAUACCAAAAGCGAAGGCAAUCUUCUGGAACACUACUGACGCUGAGGCGCGAAAGCGUGGGGAGCAAACAGAAUUAGAAACCCGUGUAGUCC
This 274-nucleotide ribosomal RNA is filed under the name uncultured bacterium. RNAcentral describes it as "partial 16S ribosomal RNA". It matches the Rfam family "Bacterial small subunit ribosomal RNA", at positions 523 to 796 of the family's 1533-position model. The record is from RNAcentral.